This 421-nucleotide ribosomal RNA is filed under the name uncultured bacterium. RNAcentral's name for it is "bacterial SSU rRNA". It matches the Rfam family "Bacterial small subunit ribosomal RNA", at positions 355 to 774 of the family's 1533-position model. The record is from RNAcentral.
UAAGGAAUAUUGGACAAUGGACGGAAGUCUGAUCCAGCCAUCCCGCGUGGAGGAAUAAGGCCCUAUGGGUUGUAAACUCCUUUAGCAGGGGAAUAAAAAGGUCAUUUAUGAUCAAUUGAAGGUACCCUGAGAAUAAGCACCGGCUAACUCCGUGCCAGCAGCCGCGGUAAUACGGAGGGUGCAAGCGUUAUCCGGAUUUACUGGGUUUAAAGGGUGCGUAGGCGGACUAUUAAGUUAGAUGUGAAAGCUUGCAGCUUAACUGUAAGAUUGCGUUUGAUACUGGUAGUCUUGAAUUCGGUAGAAGUUGGCGGAAUAAAUCAUGUAGCGGUGAAAUGCAUAGAUAUGAUUUAGAACACCGAUUGCGAAGGCAGCUAGCUAUACCGAUAUUGACGCUGAGGCACGAAAGCGUGGGGAUCAAACA